Bos taurus (domestic cattle) is the source of this 2893-nucleotide long non-coding RNA. NCBI's taxonomy places the organism in Eukaryota, Metazoa, Chordata, Mammalia, Artiodactyla, Bovidae. The record is from Ensembl.
UAAAUUUACAACAAAUGAGGAGCUCAACCACAGAGACAUUUCUAUCUCUGUUUGUGUAUAUAUCCACACCAGACACAACCCAAUUAUUGUUUUUACUAACAUGGAAACCCAGGCACUGCUAUGCAUAGAAAAGAAACAUUCACCUGGUACUUUUAUCUUUCCUUUCUUCCUUAUAGAAAACCCAGAGCUUAGGCACCACCUUCUUGAUCCUGAUAAGAACCUGAUGUGGACCAAUGAUUCUGAAACCAUCCUUAGCCCGUGUUCAUCAUCAUCUAGUAUAAGCCAAGAAAGUACCCACCACUUUCUGGAGAAAGAGGUGACCUUAUAUGCCAUCCAUGUACUUUGGUCCACUGAAGACACUGUGGAAGCCAAAAGGUGGACCUAAACCAUUCCCUCAACAGGUCUGUAGCAGUCUCCAGUGUUCAGAGCAAUGGAGUCCGGAUGAGAAGCAAGUCCCUGUGCAUCUAUGGCUCACCAGGAUCCAGCUCUUGAAGGGUGACGACCACAAUUCCACCUGAAAAUUCCACUUUGACAUCUAACCUCUCCUCUGAUGUUCCUGACUUCGCUCUGCACUUCUUUAAUUGCAACAACUAUGCAAAUGAAAACGAUUGUGAAGGUUUUGGUCGGACAGGGUGCUGACAGCACAUUGUGUCCAUCUGAAUCCGUAUGUUGGAGGUUUCCAGCGGUGACACCUCCCCCAUUACAGACACACAAGGUAUAUCCAGUGACAAAGAAGCAAAAAGGAUCCAAGAGAAAGAAAUCAGAAAAUUUGAAUACAGAGGGAGGAAAGAAUUUAAGUUGUUACAAAGGCCCACAGUUUAAUCCAGUUGGAAAUCUAGAAUUUGGUAAAAGAAUUUAUACUCUGGUGCCUGACCAGGGAUCAAACCUAGGCACCCUAUAUAGGGAAGUACAUCAUGAGAAACACUGGGCUGGAUGAAGCACAAGCUGGAAUCAAGAUUGCUGGGAGAAAAAUUAAUAACCUCAGAUAUGCAGAUGACACCACCCUUAUGGCAGAAAGCGAAGAAUUAAAGAGCCUCUUGAUGAAAGUGAAAGAGGAGAGUGAAAAAGUUAAAGCUCAACAUUCAGAAAACUAAGAUCAUGGCAUCUGGCCCAUCAUUUCAUGGCAAAUAGAUGGGGAAACAGUGAGAGACUUUAUUUUUGUGGGCUCCAAAAUCACUGCAAAUGGUGACUGCAGCCAUGAAAUUAAAAGACACUUGCUCCUUGGAAGAAAAGCUAUGACAAACCCACACAGCUUAUUAAAAAGCAGAGGCAUUACUUUGCCAACAAAGGUCCGUCUAGUCAAAGCUAUGAUUUUUCCAGUAGUCAUGUAUGGAUGUGAGAGUUGGACUAUAAAGAAAGCUGAGCACAGAAGAAUCGAUGCUUUUGAACUGUGGUGUUGGAGAAGACUCUUGAGAGUCCCUUGGACUGCAAGGAGAUCGAACCAGUCAAUCCUAAAGGAAAUCAGUCCUGAAAAUUCAUUGGAAGGACUUAUGCUGAAGCUGAAACUCCGAUACUUUGGCUACCUGAUGUGAAGAACUGACUCAUUUGAAAAGACCCUGAUGCUGGGAAAGAUUGAAGGCAGGAGGAGAAGGGGAAAAGGGGACAACAGAGGAUGAGAUGGUUGGAUGGCAUCAGCGACUCAAUGGACAUGAGUCUGAGUAAACUCCGGGAGUUGGUGACAGAAAGGGAGGCCUGGCGUGCUGCAGUCCAUGGGGUCAAAAAAGAGUCGGACAUGACUAACUGAACUGAACUGAACUGGAUGAAGAAGGAAAUGCAAGAACACCUUUAGACUUUGUUUAGACAGAACACAGCAUAGCAGGCACUAAGUCUCAAGCUGUUGUUGUUGUGUGUGUGUGUGUGUGUGUGUGUGUGUGUGUGUGUGUUGGGGAGGCCAGUAGGUGGGACAGUUGCAUAUGAAUGGAGUGUGUGGCAGGUUUGGGGAAAGCAGAGAACAAACAUGAACACUCUGGUACAGGUAUCCUAGGACGUAGGUUCUCUGCCUGGCCUACAACUGCAGCAUCAUCUGGAGAGGAAGGAUGCUCAGCCCCAAAGAGCAGGAGAAGAGGAUGGCCAGCAUCUGCCAGGGGCCUGUAAGUACUGCAAGGGCAAGGUUAAAAUUGCCGGGGUGUCACUCUGGGAUAAAAGAGGACCUGAGAAGAUAUUCGCAACUUGAAUGUGAAAGAGAGUGAAGCUCUAGGAUUCAAGGAGUGAGCAUUACUGGGUUACAUUGUGAAUUGCAUUUAAUGGAAGAAAGUGAGAGGCAGCAGGAGAAUGAGAGCUGAAACUGGACACAGAUGAGUAGAGUAGUAAGGAGAAAGGAUGAGGGAUGAGGAUAAAGAACAGUGAGAAUGUGAAAGAAAGUGCUGCCAAGAAAAGUGGUAGUUUCAUGUCAACAGUCCUUGAAACCCAUUCAAACCAGUGCAUACUCCACAGGCAAGUUGAGCCCAAGCCCAUCCCCUGGUCUGUGAGGUAAUCAGUGGCAAGAAGGAUCCAGGCAGUGGCACUUACCCCGUGAGAGUCACCUCUCCUCCCACCUCUCCCUCUCUUCAGGCAGGACUUUGGGGAAUUUGGUUCAACGGCCUCAGAGUUUGGGGACUCCUAGAUCUCCCUGUGCAUGCUCACACCAGACUGAAUCGAGUCUUUGUGUCACAGGUGAAGUAGUGUCUAAGACUAAUCCAUUCUUCCUCUUCCCCAACAAGUUCACCAGCAGACGCCUUAACAACUUUGUCCCAUUCAGGUUCAGUUAGCACAUUUAAUGUUCUUUGAGAAGGGGCAGUGAGAAGAAGAGGAGGAGGUGCCAGGGUGAAGCUUGCACAGCUUCUUCCCACUGGGCCAGAGACCUGGAAGCCAGAGUGUUGUGAACAGCAGCUGCUUGAGGGCUUAUACUUUGCAU